This 406-nucleotide ribosomal RNA is filed under the name uncultured bacterium. RNAcentral's name for it is "partial 16S ribosomal RNA". It matches the Rfam family "Bacterial small subunit ribosomal RNA", at positions 30 to 526 of the family's 1533-position model. The record is from RNAcentral.
AUUGAACGCUGGCGGCAGGCCUAACACAUGCAAGUCGAACGAGUUGCGGACGGGUGAGUAAUGUCUGGGAAACUGCCCGAUGUAGGUGGAUAACUACUGGAAACGGUAGCUAAUACCGCAUCCCAUCAGAUGUUCCCAGAUGGGAUUAGCUAGUAGGUGGGGUAACGGCUCACCAAGGCGACGAUCCCUCGCUGGUCUGAGAGGAUGACCAGCCACCCUGGAACGUGGACACGGUCCAGACUCCUACGGGAGGCAGCAGUGGGGAAUAUUGCACAAUGGGCGCAAGCCUGAUGCAGCCAUGCCGCGUGUAUGAAGAAGGCCUUCGGGUUGUAAAGUACUUUCAGCGAGGAGGCGUUACUCGCAGAAGAAGCACCGGCUAACUCCGUGCCAGCCGCCGCGGUAAUUC